UUGUCCUACGGGGGGCAGCAGUCGGGAAUAUUGCACAAUGGAGGAAACUCUGAUGCAGUGACACCGCGUAUAGGAAGAAGGUUUUCGGAUUGUAAACUAUUUUAGACAGGGAAGAAAAAAGACAGUACCUGUAGAAUAAGCUCCGGCUAACUACGUGCCAGCAGCCGCGGUAAUACGUAGGGAGCAAGCGUUAUCCGGAAUUACUGGGCGUAAAGCGCUCGUAGGCGGUAUGUCAAGUCAAGGGUGAAAUCCCCGCUCUCAACGUGGGAACUGCCUUUGAAACUGGCAAACUGGAGUGUGUGAGG
Molecule: ribosomal RNA, 305 nt
Filed under: uncultured bacterium
Lineage: Bacteria
Description: bacterial SSU rRNA
Rfam family: Bacterial small subunit ribosomal RNA
Source: RNAcentral